Molecule: ribosomal RNA, 667 nt
Filed under: uncultured Actinomycetes bacterium
Lineage: Bacteria; Bacillati; Actinomycetota; Actinomycetes
Description: bacterial SSU rRNA
Rfam family: Bacterial small subunit ribosomal RNA
Source: RNAcentral
AGAGUUUGAUCAUGGCUCAAGACGAACGCUGGCGGCGUGCUUAACACAUGCAAGUCGAACGGAAUCCAUGGUGUAGCAAUACACCGGAAGAUUUAGUGGCGAACGGGUGAGGAUCACGUGAGAAACCUGCCCCAGACUUUGGGAUAACAAUUGGAAACGAUUGCUAAUACCGAAUGACGUCGGAGAACCGCAUGGUUCACUGACGGAAGGAAAUCCGGUUUGGGAGGGUCUCGCGGCCUAUCAGCUUGUUGGUGGGGUAAUGGCCUACCAAGGCAACGACGGGUAGCUGGUCUGAGAGGAUGAUCAGCCACACUGGGACUGAGACACGGCCCAGACUCCUACGGGAGGCAGCAGUGGGGAAUCUUGCGCAAUGGGCGAAAGCCUGACGCAGCAACGCCGCGUGCGGGAUGAAGGCCUUCGGGCUGUAAACCGCUUUCAGCAGGAACGAAAAUGACGGUACCUGCAGAAGAAGGAGCGGCCAACUACGUGCCAGCAGCCGCGGUGACACGUAGGCUCCAAGCGUUGUCCGGAUUUAUUGGGCGUAAAGAGCUCGUAGGCGGUUUAGUAAGUCGGGUGUUAAAACUCUGGGCUCAACCAGGAGAGGCCAUCCGAUACUGCUGUGACUUGAGUUCAGGAGGGGAGCGGGGAAUUCCUAGUGUAGCGGUGA